CCUACGGGAGGCAGCAGUGGGGAAUUUUGGACAAUGGGGGCAACCCUGAUCCAGCAAUGCCGCGUGUGUGAAGAAGGCCUUCGGGUUGUAAAGCACUUUUGUCCGGAAAGAAAGCAUCCCUGUUAAUACCGGGGGUGGAUGACGGUACCGGAAGAAUAAG
This 160-nucleotide ribosomal RNA is filed under the name uncultured Burkholderia sp. RNAcentral's name for it is "partial 16S ribosomal RNA". It matches the Rfam family "Bacterial small subunit ribosomal RNA", at positions 338 to 490 of the family's 1533-position model. Lineage: Bacteria; Pseudomonadati; Pseudomonadota; Betaproteobacteria; Burkholderiales; Burkholderiaceae. The record is from RNAcentral.